AUUUGGAAUGACAUGUAGGUGAGUAAAUGAUUUUCAGUACUUCAAUUUCUGGUUGAACUGUCCCUUAAAGACUCUACAGCCUAUUGAAAAGACAUAAAUGUAUUACUUACAACCUUGAUUUCAUUAAUCUCAAAGGAAAUACCCUCAAACUAAAUGUAAACAAGUCCGUAAAGCAAUGCUAACAUCUGCAAUCUGGUUGGUAAUACGUGAUUGGCACACUGGGCUAUAUCUUCCCGAGAACCCUGAUCUCUUGUGAAAAAACAUGGUAGCCUGUCCAUGCAGACAGAUCUGACUGUGUAAUGUAUUGACAGUUGAGCAGUCUACAUUAAGUGCAUACAUUGAAAACACACGUCUGUCAAGGGAGGGGGGUUAUUUAGGAGGAAGAUCAAUAGAAGGUUAAAUGACGGCCCUUCUUUGACUCUACAGGCCCAGCUAGAGCAAGGGGGAGUAGCUCUUCCGAACUCUCCCCCUCCUUUUCUCUUUCCCUACUGCUUCUGCAGCCAUCACACAUACUCAGCUUAGUUAGCCUGGGAAAAAGAGCCCCAAACCCCGAUCAAUAACUUUGGUCUUGUCUGCCUAAUUGCUCAUUGGUUGACAUUGGCACCCAGCUAUAUGUAAGUGCAUGUUCCUGGAGUGAUUCACUCUUCCCUUUCCUCUCUCUCUCCACCUCCCUCUCUUUACUCUCAAAAACGCCUCACGCCCUCUGUUCCUUCCUCUUCGCCACGUUUGGGAUGCCCGAACCACAGUUGUCACGUCGGGACGUGAGCAUCCAAAGGCUCCGGCAAGACCUGCUCCACUCUCAUCAGGCCCGUGACGCCCAGAGUGUUCAGCUGGACGUCCAAGAGCAGAGACUGCAGGAUCUGCAGCGAGAGCUGCAAGAAAGCCAGCAGGAGCUCCAGAGGAGACACGACCGCAACCAGCAGCUUCUCAGGUUGCUGCAAGAUGCCAGGAAGCAAGAUCAGGAGCUACAGGCUCAGGAAUGGUGUUGGCUCCGGAGGGCACAAGAGGACCUGAAAGCGAGAGAGGAGGAGUGGAGGAAAGAGAGAUCCUUCCUUCAAGAGCAGCUCGAUGGUGUCAGAGAGGAGCUCCACCAUGCCAAACACUCGGGCUGGUAGAAGAGCAGUCCACAGUCUCCAGGCUGCAGCGUGAGCAACAGGAAGCAGAACAUCAGAGGGAUCUCCUGGGCACCAGAGUAGCUGCGCUGAACUGUGACAUCCAGCAGAAAGACUGCAUGCGGCUCACAGAGCAGGACGAGGUACACCACACCAAAUACUUGGGUAAAACAGUGUCUGGUAAGGGUUCCUGUAGAGUAAAAGCUGUGUGUGCUGUAGGUGUCCAGUAGAGAUGACCUGCAGGCGGCGGACCGCUCGAGAAUCUGACUGCUGCACAAGAGGAGGAAGAGGAGGUGAGGAACACCUGUCAAUCAUUUAGUCUUUGACAACUUUUAUAGGUGUCUGUGACAUAUACAGAUUGAAAAUACAGUGAUGUACACCUUUAUUGAAAAGUUGGGGGUCAGAUUCAGAGUCUCUUAUGCUCACCAAAGCUGCUUUAAUGAAAUAUUAUUACAGUAAAAAGUGAAAGUGACGUGACAUACAGCCAAG
This is a long non-coding RNA of Cyprinus carpio (common carp), 1601 nucleotides long. The record is from Ensembl. NCBI's taxonomy places the organism in Eukaryota, Metazoa, Chordata, Actinopteri, Cypriniformes, Cyprinidae.